Molecule: non-coding RNA, 269 nt
Filed under: Acetivibrio straminisolvens
Lineage: Bacteria; Bacillati; Bacillota; Clostridia; Acetivibrionales; Acetivibrionaceae
Description: Clostridium straminisolvens T-box sequence
Rfam family: T-box leader
About the family: Uncharged tRNA acts as the effector for transcription antitermination of genes in the T-box leader family. T-boxes are found upstream of many aminoacyl-tRNA synthetase genes and some amino acid biosynthetic genes usually in Gram-positive bacteria.
Source: RNAcentral
AUAAAGGCAAUGAAGGGGUAAAGUAGAUUAUAUAUUCUUUUUAAGCGAGCUGGGGACGGUGCGAGCCCGGUAAAAGGAUUAUAAUUGAAGUUCACCGCCUGAGCUGUUGGCUGAAAAGCUGAGUAAAUCGCUAAAGUAGGCUUAACCGGAGCUUUCACCGUUAAAAGAAAGGUUGUAUCGGAUUAUUUGUAUGUAGUCCCGUACAAUAAUGAGUGGGCAUUAUGCAAUUUGGGUGGUACCGCGUGGAAAAUACACUCCUCGUCCCUUAA